This 369-nucleotide ribosomal RNA is filed under the name uncultured organism. RNAcentral describes it as "bacterial SSU rRNA". It matches the Rfam family "Bacterial small subunit ribosomal RNA", at positions 527 to 896 of the family's 1533-position model. The record is from RNAcentral.
CGAGGGGGCGAGCGUUGUUCGGAAUCACUGGGCGUAAAGAGUGCGUAGGCGGUUAUGAAAGUUAGGAGUGAAAGCCCCAGGCUCAACUUGGGAAUUGCUCUUAAAACUACAUGACUCGAAUUCGGGAGAGGAUAGCGGAAUUCUCAGUGUAGCAGUGAAAUGCGUAGAUAUUGAGAGGAACACCGGUGGCGUAAGCGGCUAUCUGGACCGACAUUGACGCUGAGGCACGAAAGCGUGGGGAUCAAACAGGAUUAGAUACCCUGGUAGUCCACGCCGUAAACGAUGUGUGUUUGUCGCUGGGGAGUUUACUCUUCGGUGACGGAGCUAACGCGUUAAGCACACCGCCUGGGAAGUACGGUCGCAAGAUUA